AAUUUGAAAUCUGGCGUCUUUGGCGUCCGAGUUGUAAUUUGAAGAAGGUAUCUUUGGGCCCGGCUCUUGUCUAUGUUCCUUGGAACAGGACGUCACAGAGGGUGAGAAUCCCGUGCGAUGAGAUGACCCGGGUCUGUGUAAAGUUCCUUCGACGAGUCGAGUUGUUUGGGAAUGCAGCUCUAAGUGGGUGGUAAAUUCCAUCUAAAGCUAAAUAUUGGCGAGAGACCGAUAGCGAACAAGUACAGUGAUGGAAAGAUGAAAAGAACUUUGAAAAGAGAGUGAAAAAGUACGUGAAAUUGUUGAAAGGGAAGGGCUUGAGAUCAGACUUGGUAUUUUGCAUGUUGCUCUCUCGGGGGCGGCCGCUGCGGUUUACCGGGCCAGCAUCGGUUUGGAGCGGCAGGAUAAUGGCGGAGGAAUGUGGCACGGCUUCUGCUGUGUGUUAUAGCCUCUGACGAUACUGCCAGCCUAGACCGAGGACUGCGGUUUUUACCUAGGAUGUUG
This 501-nucleotide ribosomal RNA is filed under the name Candida albicans. Its description in RNAcentral is "eukaryotic LSU rRNA". It matches the Rfam family "Eukaryotic large subunit ribosomal RNA", at positions 112 to 628 of the family's 3401-position model. Lineage: Eukaryota; Fungi; Ascomycota; Pichiomycetes; Serinales; Debaryomycetaceae. The record is from RNAcentral.